RNAcentral lists this ribosomal RNA (433 nucleotides) under uncultured bacterium. RNAcentral's name for it is "partial 16S ribosomal RNA". It matches the Rfam family "Bacterial small subunit ribosomal RNA", at positions 29 to 507 of the family's 1533-position model. The record is from RNAcentral.
AACGAACGCUGGCGGCAUGCCUAACACAUGCAAGUCGAACGAGACCUUCGGGUCUAGUGGCGCACGGGUGCGUAACGCGUGGGAACCUGCCCUUAGGUUCGGAAUAACUCCCCGAAAGGGGUGCUAAUACCGGAUAAUGUCUUCGGACCAAAGAUUUAUCGCCUUUGGAUGGGCCCGCGUUGGAUUAGCUAGUUGGUAGGGUAAAAGCCUACCAAGGCGACGAUCCAUAGCUGGUCUGAGAGGAUGAUCAGCCACACUGGGACUGAGACACGGCCCAGACUCCUACGGGAGGCAGGAGUGGGGAAUAUUGGACAAUGGGCGAAAGCCUGAUCCAGCAAUGCCGCGUGAGUGAUGAAGGCCUUAGAGUUGUAAAGCUCUUUUACCCGGGAUGAUAAUGACAGUACCGGGAGAAUAAGCUCCGGCUAACUCCGUG